UACGUAGGAGGCGAGCGUUGUCCGGAUUUACUGGGCGUAAAGCGCGCGCAGGCGGCAUGGCAAGUAAGGUGUGAAAUCUCCCUGCCUAACGGGGAGGGUGCAUUUUAGACUGCCAAGCUAGAGGACGGUAGAGGGGGGUAGAAUUGCUGGUGUAGCGGUGAAAUGCGUAGAGAUCAGCAGGAAUACCCGUGGCGAAGGCGGCCCACUGGGCCGGUGCUGACGCUGAGGCGCGAAGGCGUGGGGAGCGAACGGG
Molecule: ribosomal RNA, 253 nt
Filed under: uncultured bacterium
Lineage: Bacteria
Description: partial 16S ribosomal RNA
Rfam family: Bacterial small subunit ribosomal RNA
Source: RNAcentral